This 96-nucleotide microRNA precursor is filed under the name Triticum aestivum (bread wheat). Its description in RNAcentral is "MIR5387 microRNA precursor family". It matches the Rfam family "MIR5387 microRNA precursor family". Lineage: Eukaryota; Viridiplantae; Streptophyta; Magnoliopsida; Poales; Poaceae. The record is from Rfam by way of RNAcentral.
CGGUGGCACCAACCGGGACUAAAGGGGGGCAUGGGUACCGGUUAGUGGCACCAACAGGGACCAAUGCCCCCCUUUAGUCCCGGUUGGUGCCACCAA